GAUGAACGCUGGCGGCGUGCCUAAUACAUGCAAGUCGAGCGAACGGACGAGAAGCUUGCUUCUCUGAUGUUAGCGGCGGACGGGUGAGUAACACGUGGAUAACCUACCUAUAAGACUGGGAUAACUUCGGGAAACCGGAGCUAAUACCGGGUAAUAUUUUGAACCGCAUGGUUCAAAAGUGAAAGACGGUCUUGCUGUCACUUAUAGAUGGAUCCGCGCUGCAUUAGCUAGUUGGUAAGGUAACGGCUUACCAAGGCAACGAUGCAUAGCCGACCUGAGAGGGUGAUCGGCCACACUGGAACUGAGACACGGUCCAGACUCCUACGGGAGGCAGCAGUAGGGAAUCUUCCGCAAUGGGCGAAAGCCUGACGGAGCAACGCCGCGUGAGUGAUGAAGGUCUUCGGAUCGUAAAACUCUGUUAUUAGGGAAGAACAUAUGUGUAAGUAACUGUGCACAUCUUGACGUUACCUAAUCAGAAAGCCACGGCUAACUACGUG
This 497-nucleotide ribosomal RNA is filed under the name uncultured bacterium. RNAcentral's name for it is "partial 16S ribosomal RNA". It matches the Rfam family "Bacterial small subunit ribosomal RNA", at positions 28 to 507 of the family's 1533-position model. The record is from RNAcentral.